This 492-nucleotide ribosomal RNA is filed under the name uncultured bacterium. RNAcentral's name for it is "partial 16S ribosomal RNA". It matches the Rfam family "Bacterial small subunit ribosomal RNA", at positions 29 to 507 of the family's 1533-position model. The record is from RNAcentral.
AGUGAACGCUGGCGGUAGGCCUAACACAUGCAAGUCGAACGGCAGCACAGUAAGAGCUUGCUCUUACGGGUGGCGAGUGGCGGACGGGUGAGGAAUACAUCGGAAUCUACUUUUUCGUGGGGGAUAACGUAGGGAAACUUACGCUAAUACCGCAUACGACCUACGGGUGAAAGUAGGGGAUCUUCGGACCUUGCGCGAUUGAAUGAGCCGAUGUCGGAUUAGCUAGUUGGCGGCGUAAAGGCCCACCAAGGCGACGAUCCGUAGCUGGUCUGAGAGGAUGAUCAGCCACACUGGAACUGAGACACGGUCCAGUCUCCUACGGGAGGCAGCAGUGGGGAAUAUUGGACAAUGGGCGCAAGCCUGAUCCAGCCAUACCGCGUGGGUGAAGAAGGCCUUCGGGUUGUAAAGCCCUUUUGUUGGGAAAGAAAAGCAGCAGGUUAAUACCCCGCUGUUCUGACGGUACCCAAAGAAUAAGCACCGGCUAACUUCGUG